This 488-nucleotide ribosomal RNA is filed under the name uncultured bacterium. RNAcentral's name for it is "bacterial SSU rRNA". It matches the Rfam family "Bacterial small subunit ribosomal RNA", at positions 501 to 987 of the family's 1533-position model. The record is from RNAcentral.
CUACGUGCCAGCAGCCGCGGUAAUACGUAGGGCGCGAGCGUUGUCCGGAAUUAUUGGGCGUAAAGGGCUUGUAGGCGGUUGGUCGCGUCUGCCGUGAAAUUCUCUGGCUUAACUGGGGGCGUGCGGUGGGUACGGGCUGACUUGAGUGCGGUAGGGGAGACUGGAACUCCUGGUGUAGCGGUGGAAUGCGCAGAUAUCAGGAAGAACACCGGUGGCGAAGGCGGGUCUCUGGGCCGUUACUGACGCUGAGGAGCGAAAGCGUGGGGAGCGAACAGGAUUAGAUACCCUGGUAGUCCACGCCGUAAACGAUGAGUGCUAGGUGUUGGAUCCUUUCCGGGAUUCAGUGCCGCAGCUAACGCAUUAAGCACUCCGCCUGGGGAGUACGACCGCAAGGUUGAAACUCAAAGGAAUUGACGGGGGCCCGCACAAGCGGUGGAGUAUGUGGUUUAAUUCGACGCAACGCGAAGAACCUUACCAGGUCUUGACAU